RNAcentral lists this ribosomal RNA (497 nucleotides) under uncultured bacterium. RNAcentral describes it as "partial 16S ribosomal RNA". It matches the Rfam family "Bacterial small subunit ribosomal RNA", at positions 28 to 507 of the family's 1533-position model. The record is from RNAcentral.
GAUGAACGCUGGCGGCGUGCCUAAUACAUGCAAGUCGAGCGAGCAGACGAGGAGCUUGCUCCUCUGACGUUAGCGGCGGACGGGUGAGUAACACGUGGAUAACCUACCUAUAAGACUGGGAUAACUUCGGGAAACCGGAGCUAAUACCGGAUAACAUGUUGAACCGCAUGGUUCAACAGUGAAAGACGGUCUUGCUGUCACUUAUAGAUGGAUCCGCGCCGCAUUAGCUAGUUGGUAAGGUAACGGCUUACCAAGGCAACGAUGCGUAGCCGACCUGAGAGGGGGAUCGGCCACACUGGAACUGAGACACGGUCCAGACUCCUACGGGAGGCAGCAGUAGGGAAUCUUCCGCAAUGGGCGAAAGCCUGACGGAGCAACGCCGCGUGAGUGAAGAAGGUCUUCGGAUCGUAAAACUCUGUUAUUAGGGAAGAACAAAUGUGUAAGUAACUAUGCACGUCUUGACGGUACCUAAUCAGAAAGCCACGGCUAACUACGUG